AUAUAUAUAUAUAUAUAUAUAUAUAUAUUAUUUCAUAAUUCAACUGUCUUUGAAAUAUGAUCAAAGACAUUGCUAUAAUGUACAGACGAGCAUUUAUGGCGAAGUAAAAUAACCUGCUGCUGUUAGAACUUAUUUAAAUUUAGAUACAUUGAUACAAAGGCCAAAAUAUUUCAUUUAAUUUUAAAAACACCAUUGCUUCCAAAUUUAUUGUCAGUGGCCACAGGGCAUAAAUGGAAAUUGUGAAAAAAUUAAGCACAAAAUUUAAUAAGGAAGUGUUACACGACAGGACAAAUCAAUAUUGAUAUGACUGAUACGAUUUAAACUUCAAAAUUAAGUUUUUUAGAGCUUCUGUAAUUUAUAAGGCAAUUAACAUGCUAUUUUUAAUACGCUAUAGCAUACAGUAAUAUACGAAAACAUAAAACUGUUGUUUACUGUAAUAUGUGUAAUUAUGUACUCUCUCUUUCUCUCUCUCUCUCUCUCUAUAUAUAUAUAUAUACACACACACAAUUUACUAUAAUAUUAUAAUAUAUAAAAUAUUAUAGUAACAAUGUUAUAUUUAUCUAUAUUAAUUCCUUGUAUAUAACAAAAAAGUCAGACAGGUGUUUUAUUAUUAAGAACAUUGUUAGCAUGCAGUAUUUCAGACAUGGCUAACAUGUUUUACCACGCUAGCAUGUCUCUAACAUGUUUAGCACAAGUUGCAACCAUAGCACAUUGCUAACAUUAUUUAACAUGCUGUUAGCAUAUUUUAAAGCAUUGCUAGUAUGUAUCAGUAUUAUUCUUUCUCAAGCUAACAUAGUUGUGAUCAACACUUAUUAGAAUGUGACAGAAAGACUUUGCUGCUACCGUUAUACUGAAAGCUUGCGUAGCACUGAGCUUUUAUAGCUAAUGUACAUAGCUAAUGUAAGCAGUCAAAUCCAUUAUAUUGUGAAAUUUAUGUUGUACUUUAAGUUUAUUUUAGAUGCCAUUUUAGAUUUUUUUUUGAUCAUCAUUUACUUCACAUGCACCGCUGCAAACACAAACAUGAUUUUGUAAAACUGUCACCUUGAAUUUAACAGUGAAACGAAUUGCGUUUUUAAUUUUAUUUUUUAUAAUUAAUACCUACUGUUUAAUUUUCAUAUUCUUACCAUAGUAGGAUUUCCUUAAUAUACAGAAAUUUGUAUAUUUUAUGCUAAUUGUUUUUAUGUAGUAUUAUAUUCCAUAUUUGUCACUGGGAAUUUAGAACAAUAGGCGAUUGUGAUUUGUUGGAAACUUGUUUAUCAAUUGUAGAAUUUUUAUUUAUGAUAACAUGUUUCAGGGAUUGCCAAGUCAGUUCAUACCAUUGCCAUGAGAG
Molecule: long non-coding RNA, 1330 nt
Organism: Cyprinus carpio carpio
Lineage: Eukaryota; Metazoa; Chordata; Actinopteri; Cypriniformes; Cyprinidae
Source: Ensembl